CCCUUAGAUGUCCUGGGCUGCACGCGCGCUACACUGAUGUGUCCAGUAAGCACCUAACCUCUUCCGAAAGGAACGGGUAACCUUUGCAAAGCACAUCGUGAUGGGGAUAGAUUAUUGCAAUUAUUAGUCUUGAACGAGGAAUUCCUAGUAAGCACAAGUCAUCAGCUUGUGUUGAUUACGUCCCUGCCCUUUGUACACACCGCCCGUCGCUCCUACCGAUUGAAUGUUUCGGUGAAGAUUCCGGAUAGGACUUUUUUGAUUUAUUUCAAUUUUGUCUUAAAAGCUAUCUAAACCUCAACAUUUAGAGGAAGGUGAAGUCGUAACA
RNAcentral lists this ribosomal RNA (325 nucleotides) under uncultured eukaryote. RNAcentral's name for it is "partial 18S ribosomal RNA". It matches the Rfam family "Eukaryotic small subunit ribosomal RNA", at positions 1470 to 1796 of the family's 1831-position model. The record is from RNAcentral.